GCUGUCUUGGUGUAACGGUAGCACACUCGGGUUCGAGAGGUCCAGGUUCGAGUCCCGGCGGAAGCA
This 66-nucleotide transfer RNA is filed under the name Stegodyphus mimosarum. It matches the Rfam family "tRNA". From Rfam's summary of the family: Transfer RNA (tRNA) molecules are approximately 80 nucleotides in length. Their secondary structure includes four short double-helical elements and three loops (D, anti-codon, and T loops). Lineage: Eukaryota; Metazoa; Arthropoda; Arachnida; Araneae; Eresidae. The record is from Rfam by way of RNAcentral.